This 3032-nucleotide ribosomal RNA is filed under the name Metrosideros polymorpha var. glaberrima. The record is from RNAcentral. Lineage: Eukaryota; Viridiplantae; Streptophyta; Magnoliopsida; Myrtales; Myrtaceae.
AUUCUUAAGACCAAAGAGUCAGGUGGAAAAGGGGGGAAAGCUCUCCGCUCCUGGUUCUCCUAUAGCUGGAUCCUUCGGAACCAUAAGAAUCCUUAGUUAGAAUGGGAUUCCAACUCAACACCCUUUGAAAUUUUGAGAAGAGUUGCUUUUUGGAGAGCACUGUACGAUGAAAGUUGUAAGCUGUGUUCAGGGGGGAGUUAUUGUCUAUUGCUGGCUUCUAUGGUAGGAUAAGCUAGAAGGCCGGAGAUGCGAUGGUUUACCCUGUGGCGGAUGUCAGCUGUUCGAGUUCGCUUAUCUCUAACUCGUGAACUUAGCCGAUACAAAGCUAUAUGAUAGCACCCAAUUUUUUGGAUUUGGCAGUUCGAACUAUGAUUUCUCAUUCAUGGACUUUAAUAAGAUCCUUCCAUUUAGCAGCACCUUAUGAUGGCAUAGCCUUAAAGUGAAUGGUGAGGUUCAAACGAGGAAAUGCUUACGGUGGAUACCUAGGCACCCAGAGGUGAGGGAGGGUGAAAAGAACCCCCAUCGGGGAGUGAGAUAGAAUAUGAAAUCGUAAGCUCCUAAGUAGUGGAAGGAGACUACUAGGACUUUGACCGCGUGCCUGUUGAAGAAUGAGUUGGCGACUCAUAGGCAGUGGCUUGGUUAAGGGAACCCAUCGGAACUGUAGCGAAAGCAAGUCUUCAUAAGGCAAUUGUCACUGCUUAUGGACCUGAACUUGGGUGAUCUAUCCAUGACUAGGAUGAAGCUUGGGUGAAACUAAGUGGAGGUUUGAACCGACUGAUGUUGAAGAAUUAGCGGACGAGUUGUGGUUAAGGGUGAAAUGCCACUCGAACCCAGAGCUAGCUGAUUCUUCUCGAAAUGCAUUGAGGCGUAGCAGUUGACUGGACAUCUAGGGGUAAAGCACUAUUUCGGUAUGGGCUAUAAAAGCGGUACUAAAUCGAGGCAAACUAUGAAUACUAGAUAUGACCUCCAAAUAAUAGGGGUCAAGGUCAGCUAGUGAGAUGAUGGGAGAUAAGCUUCAUCGUCGAGAGGGAAACAGCCCGGAUCACCAGCUACGGCCCCUAAAUGACUGCUUUGUGAUAAAGGAGGUAGGGGUGCAGAGGUAGCUAGGAGGUUUGUGUAGAAACAGCCACCCUUGAAAAAGUGCGUAAUAGCUCACUGAUUAAUCGCUCUUGCGUCAAAGAUGAGCAGGAUUAAGCGAUUUGCCGAAGCUGUGGGAUGUCAAAAUAUAUUGGUAGGGGAGCAUUUCACCUUAGAGGAAAGCACCCAUGAGCAAGGGUGGACGAAGCGGAAGCGAGAAUGUCAGCUUGAGUAACGCAAACAUUGGUGAGAAUCCAAUGCCUCGAAAACCUAAGGGUUCCUCCGCAAGAUUCGUCCAUAGAGGGUGAGUCAGGGCCUAAGAUCAAGCCGAAAGGCGUAGUCGAUGUACAAUAGGUGAAUAUUCCUACACUAUCCCUUAUUGGUCCCAAGGGACAAAGAAGGCUAUGUUAGCCGAAAGAUGGUUAUCGGUUCAAGGACGCAAGGUGUCCCUGCUUUUUCAAGGUAAGAAGGGUUAGAAAAAAUGCCCCGAGCCAAUGUUCGAGUACUAGGCAUUACGACGCUAAAGUAACCCAUGCCAUACUCUCAGGAAAAGCUUGAAUGACCUUCAACAAAAGGGUACUUGUACCUGAAAUCGACAUAGAUGGGUAGAUAGAGAAUACCUAGGGGCGUGAGACAACUCUCUCUAAGGAACUCGGCAAAAUAGCCCCGUAACUUCAGAAGAAAGGGUGCCUCCUCACAAGAGGGGUCGAAGUGACCAGGCCCGGGUGACUGUUUACCAAAAACACAGGUCUCCACAAAGUCGUAAGACCAUGUAUAGGGGUUGACGCCUGCCCAGUGCCGAAAGGUUAAGGAAGUUGUUGACCUGAUGACAGGGGAGCCGACGACCGAAGCCCCGGUGAACGGCGGCUAUAACUAUAAUGGUCCUAAAGUAGUGAAAUUCCUUGUCGGGUAAGUUCCGACCCGCACGAAAGGCGUAACGAUUUGAGCACUGUCUCAGAGAGAAACUCGGUGAAAUAGACAUGUAUGUAAAGAUGCGGACUACCUACACCUGGAUAGAAAGACCCUAUGAAGAUUUACUAUUCCCUGGGAUUGGCUUUAGGCCUUUCUUGCACAGCUUAGGUGGAACGCGAAGAAGGCCUCCUUCCGGGGGGGCCCGAGCCAUUAAUGAGAUACCACUCUAAAAGAGCUAGAAUUCUAACCUUGUGUCAAGACCUACGAGCCAAGGGACGGUCUCAAGUAGACAGUUUCUAUGGGCGUAGGCUUCCCAAAAGGUAGCGGAGGCAUGCAAAGGUUUCCUCGAGCCUGACAGAGAUUGACCCUUGAGUGCAAAGGCAGAAGGGAGCUUGACUGCAAGACUCACCCGUCGAGCAGGGACGAAAGUUGGCCUUAGUGAUCCGAUGGUGUCGAGUGGAAAGGCCGUCGCUCCACGGAUAAAAGUUACUCUAGGGAUAGCCGGUUGAUCUUCCCCAAGAGUUCACAUCAACGAGAAGGUUUGGCACCUCUAUGUCGGCUCUUCGCCACCUGGGGCUGUAGUAUGUUCCAAGGGUUGGGCUGUUCGCCCAAUAAAGCGAUAUGUAAGUUGGCUUUAGAAUGUCGUGAGACAGUUUGGUCCAUAUCUGGUGUGGGCGUUAGAGCAUUGAGAGGACCUUUCCCUAGUACAAGAGGACCGAGAAGGACGCACCUUUGGUGUACCAGUUAUCGUGCCCAUGGUAAACGCUGGGUAGCCAAGUGCAAAGCAAAUACCUGCUGAAAGCAUCUAAAUGGUAAGCUCACCCCAAGAUGAGUGCUUUCCUAUUCUGACUUCCCCGGAGCCUCUGGUAGCGUAGUCGAGACAACGACGGGUUCUUUACCCCUGCAGGGAUAGAGUGACAGAAGUUUUGAGAAUUCAAGAGAAGGUCUUAGUGAGACGAGCUGUUUAUCAUUAUGAUAGGUGUCAAGUGGAAGUGCAGUGAUGUAUGCAACUGAGGCAUCCUAACAGACUGGUAGACUUGAAC